Molecule: ribosomal RNA, 236 nt
Filed under: Candidatus Scalindua brodae
Lineage: Bacteria; Pseudomonadati; Planctomycetota; Candidatus Brocadiia; Candidatus Brocadiales; Candidatus Scalinduaceae
Description: partial 16S ribosomal RNA
Rfam family: Bacterial small subunit ribosomal RNA
Source: RNAcentral
GAGCACGUAGGGGGUUUGUAAGUCAGAUGUGAAAGCCUUCUGUUCAACGGGAGAAUUGCAUCUGAAACUGCUAAUCUUGAGUAUAGGAGGGGAGAAUGGAACUUCUGGUGGAGCGGUGAAAUGCGUAGAUAUCAGAAGGAACGCCGGCGGCGGAAGCGAUUCUCUGGCCUAUUACUGACACUCAGUGUGCGAAAGCUAGGGGAGCAAACGGGAUUAGAUACCCCGGUAGCAGCUAU